CGAUGUAGUCAAAUUGGUUUGACAGCUGACUGUAAAUCAGUGGAAUAUUCCCAUGUAGGUUCGAAUCCUAUCAUCACGA
Molecule: non-coding RNA, 79 nt
Organism: Borealophlyctis nickersoniae
Lineage: Eukaryota; Fungi; Chytridiomycota; Chytridiomycetes; Rhizophlyctidales; Borealophlyctidaceae
Source: the annotation of a GenBank genome assembly